CGCUCCCCUCCCCAGGCCCAUCAGGCUGUGCGGUGAGGAUGUGACCGUCAGCGUCCAGCGGCCAACCUGGACAUGUCGUGCCGCAGGGGACGUGGCGUGUGAGCGAGAACCAAGCCGUUGCGGCUCUUUUCCUGAGUCUGAACUUCGUGAUAAAGACAGCCGAGCGGGGGAAAUUAAAGAAACAACUACGACGAAAUGGCUCCAGGGUAAACUAUUAAGCGCCAAAGGCAACGGGCAAGAGACUGCGUGUGGAAUGAUCCCAUUUGCAUAAAUGGAAAACUAAGAAAUUUAUUUACAGUACAAGUUCCUAGAUGUGGACCUGCUGGGUCAGAGAGCAUUGUCCAGCUUUAAUUUUCAGAGAUAUUGCCAAAGUGCUCUGCAAAGAGAUCGCCCGAAACUGCCCUCUCCCAGCAGAAUACAAUUACUGUAUAAAUUGAGGGAAGACCGCACUUUGCUUUGCUUGGAACUUUAUCUGCUCCUUCACCAUUUUGGACAUCACGACGCUGAUGGCAAGGCGGCUCUUGAUAUUCGAGUGCCCAGUACAGCACAUCUCAAUCGCAUCUCGAUCGAUCGUUCAGCAUCUCAGCAGCCCCAUUCAUGGCAGUUCCACAACUCGGUCGCUCACUGGGUGACUUGGUUGCAUCUUCCGGUGUAAUCAUGCCUGAGUAUUUACACAUCGAGAGAAACACUACACAUUAGAAACUACUUUCACUUCUCGUUUACAUUAUAAUUGAGGAGUUAUAUUGAUCUAUUCUUUAAUUUGGAUUUCAUCGGUGGAGAGCCAAGGAGGUAUCAGAAAUGUUUAUUUAUAGGGGCCCCCGGGGUGGCUCAGCCGGUUAAGCGUCCGAUCGUGGUCUCACAGUUCUUGAGUUCGAGUCCUGCGUCAGGCUCUGUCCAACAGCUCAGAGCCUGGAGCCUGCUUUGGAUUCUGUGUCCCCCUCUCUCUCUGCCACUCCGCCACUCGCACUCUGUCUCUCAAAAAUAAACAGUAAAGAAAAAUUAAAAAAAAAUAAAUGUGUAUAAGUGACAUCGGAUAUGAUAGGGUCGUAGCAAUGGCUCUAAUCUUGGUAAUAUGCUUAAUUCUCUCUUUACCAACUUUAGCUAAUAUCUACUGGCUCUUUGAUGUGAAAGAUGAGAAUUUAUGUCACUUACAUUAUCCCUCCUCUCAAAGCUCUAAUUAAAAAAAAUUUUUUUAACAUUUAUUCAUUUUUGAGAGACAGAGUGUGAGUGGGGGAGGGGCAGAGAGAGAGGGAGAUGCAGAAUCCAAAGCAGGCUCCAGGCUCCAGGCUUCGAGCUGUCGGUACACAGCCUGACGCGGGACUCGAACUCAUGGACCACAAGAUCAUGACCUGAGCUGAAGUCGGAUACUUAACCGACUGAGCCACCCAGGCGUCCCAAAGCUCUAUUUUUUUUAAUGUUUAUUUAUUUUUGAGAGACAGGGAGAGAGACAGGGGAGGGGCAGAGAGAGAGGAAGACUGGAGAAUACCAAGCAGGCUCCACACUGUCCGUGCAGAGCUUAACGCCGGGUUCGAAUCCACAAACUGUGAGAUCAUGACCUGAGUUGAAAUCAAGAGCCACCCAGGUGAGCCAGCUCACCCACUGAGCCACCCAGGUGCCCUCACAAAGCUCUAUUUCUUUUCCCAUCAAACUUUGACAGUAUCUUCUGAGCCCCCACUUGAGCAGCUGGGGGCAUUAGUGGUGUUACUUUUUCGUUCAUAAUCUUUCCUGUUCCACUUUGUGUCGGCUGUGCUUUUGUUGGUGUAUUCAAAUAUGUGAAGGUUUGCUAAGAUUUUCAUUUAGUUCCGCAAAAUAGAGCCCAGUGUUUUGUUUUGUCUUGUCCAUACAGUGACAGUGAAGUUGAAGACCAGUU
This is a long non-coding RNA of Neofelis nebulosa (Clouded leopard), 1870 nucleotides long. RefSeq lists it as uncharacterized. NCBI's taxonomy places the organism in Eukaryota, Metazoa, Chordata, Mammalia, Carnivora, Felidae. The transcript is spliced from 4 exons. The record is from RefSeq and is a predicted model, not a curated record.